RNAcentral lists this unclassified non-coding RNA (830 nucleotides) under Hevea brasiliensis (rubber tree). The record is from RNAcentral. Lineage: Eukaryota; Viridiplantae; Streptophyta; Magnoliopsida; Malpighiales; Euphorbiaceae.
UUUGAAACUUUAGCAACAUGUGAGGAUCUUGAGGAACCGGAUUGCAAGACUCUAGCAAGUUCUUUGCCCGUCUCACCAAAGAAGCCAGAAAUAUCAAAAUUAAAUGAAGCUAUCAUUUCAGCAACAGAGGAAGAGGAUGCUUGUCCCAUCUGUCUUGAAGAGUAUGACACGCCGAAUCCAAGAUUUUUGACCAAAUGUGAACAUCAUUUUCACCUGUCAUGCAUUCUGGAGUGGAUGGAAAGGAGUGACACCUGACCCCAUUUGUGAUCAGGAAAUGGUAUUUGACCAUAACUUCAAUUAGUAGCUCUUUUAUGAUUUACAAGAAGCAAAUCAUUUGCUGUUUCAAUUGAAAGUUUGCCAACUUAGUGGGCUACUGUCCCAUGUCAGUGUUGUCUCACAACUGGUCAGUAGAGUUCCCACGGGGACUGUUUUAAGUUUGGUCUUGGUUGGUUUGAAAAGUUCAAAAUAUCAUAGUUUUAUGUGAUUACUUCUGGGAAGGUUAAAAGAAAAGGAAUGGAUUUUUAACGCGACAUGGAAACAAGUUGCCUCUUCAUACCCCUUUGUUAAUAUCUUGGUGGAUAGUUUUCAAAUAGGCCUGCAGAGUGCAGGUAGCCACAUUGUUAUGAAGCGCUCAGGAAAAACAACCUGAGAGGAAGUUUAACGCAAACAAAGGUAUGUAACAAAGAUAAAGCAAAUGUUCAUUUCUGCCUUCCAUGUUGUGUUAAUGAACUGCGCUCCCUUUCUCUUGUAUUUGCUUGUUGUAAGCUGCUUAAAUUUGGAUUUUUUUUUUCAGUCACAGUCUUUGUAAAUUAAAUCUGUUAGAAGUCAAU